GCAGCCCUUGGGAUAACGCUGCUCAUCCCUGGUGGGAUAACGCUGCCCAUCCCUGGUGGGAUAACGCUGCUCAUCCCUGGUGGGAUAACGCUGCUGAUCCCUGGUGGGAUAACGCUGCUCAUCCCCGGUGGGAUAACGCUGCUCAUCCCUGGUGGGAUAACGCUGCUCAUCCCUGGUGGGAUAACGCUGCCCAUCCCCGGUGGGAUAACGCUGCCCAUCCCUGGUGGGAUAACGCUGCUCAUCCCCGGUGGGAUAACGCUGCUCAUCCCCGGCCAUGAGGGAGCGCACACUCGGGAAGGCCGGAUGGGAUUUACAGCAGCUGGAACUGUCUGCAGGAGGGAUUUCAGAGGCACCAGCCCAACUCCGAGCUGGGGAAAGGCGAAAUCCUGGGGGGAUGCUGUGAGCGAGCCGGGAUGCGGGCGAGGUGAGCGCUGCCCAUCACAUCCCCCGUCCCUCUCCCUGCUUUUCCUUCGGGAAAAGCUCCAGCCGGCGCUUCCCCGUGUAACACUUCUCUCCUUUCUGCCCUUUUAGCCCCUGGCAGGAUGAUCCCGCCUGGCAGUGCCCCGGAGCGGCUCCGCAAUUCCCGUCCCUCCGUUCCAGCGGAGCGGUCCCAGGUGGCACCGGGGGACUCUGCUCCUCCAUCCUCAGCCUCCCCAAAACCACGCCAAAGCCUCGGCAGGCACUGGCACUCGAGCAUCCCGGGAUUUUGGGGCGUUUCCCGGAUUCCAGAGGAGAACAUGACUUGCCCUACAAGUAGGGGAGGAUGUUUCCCCUUUGCAGGUCAUUGCUCUGCUGGAUCUGAGCUCCCCUUCUCGCAGGAGGACAGCAGCGAUCCCACGGCGUGGAGAGGAAGCUUUUCUGGGGGAUUUUCAGCUGUCUCCUCCUGCUGGGAGGGGUCUCUGGGCUGUUCUCAACCUCUGCGAGGUUGUCCCUGCAGCUGUAACCCCUGGGACGGUCAGAAUUCCCAAAAGCCUUUUCCUCUGGGACCCCUCGGGGUCCCAGCGCAUCCACACCUGGAUUGUGUCUCACAUUUGGGAAUCCGACCUUCCCACGGUGCCACGAGGGGUUCUAUACUAUUUAUAGUCUGUGCUGAGCACGCUCUGAGAAUGGUUAAACCCUAUCCCAAACAAUGUAGAGGAAAUUCCUCGGGAUGUCUUGCUCACGAGCCAGGGCUGUUUGUGAGGUUCAGGAUGCGUGUGUGCCUUUUGUAAAGGCAGGAGCUCAUUUUUGUGUCCUUAUAGGACUGAAAGUUACAGCUGUGCUGUCCAUUAUAAAAGAGAUGUUUAGCAAAGUCUUUCAUGAAAGGCAGAUGUAUAAAUUAUAUUUAUUUUUUGUACCCUUUUGCCAGGGGAAAAUGGGAAUUUGUUACUGUCCUUGGAGGAUGUUAUGGUGUGUUCUGUGCAAGCUGCACCAAUGUAUGACAGUUAUCUUGAAUAUCAGAAGAUGCAGAAACUUUUAAAGGCCAAAAAUAAAUAAAAAUCUGCUUAAUCAA
This is a non-coding RNA of Taeniopygia guttata (zebra finch), 1492 nucleotides long. Lineage: Eukaryota; Metazoa; Chordata; Aves; Passeriformes; Estrildidae. The record is from RefSeq and is a predicted model, not a curated record.